Molecule: ribosomal RNA, 201 nt
Filed under: Triticum aestivum (bread wheat)
Lineage: Eukaryota; Viridiplantae; Streptophyta; Magnoliopsida; Poales; Poaceae
Description: partial small subunit ribosomal RNA
Source: RNAcentral
AUGCAAGACUACUUCACGGAGAAUCCUACAUAUCCAUCGCACCUCUUCCGGAGAAGGUACCAAAUGCGCCGAUCCCUCUUUGUCAAAAUUGUUCAACCUUGCGAGGCAAAUUGCUGGUAUUUUACUCAAAGAAGAAAUGUUGCGGACUUAAAGGGAUUCAUGACAAGUUUUGUAUUGCAUUAUUUAAGUUUGCUAUGGUGA